UUUGUUGUAAAAACUUAAAUGAAAUCCCACUCUCGACUAUACUAAAAUGGCACAUGCGCGUAAUGAGGGUCGGCCCAAGGGCUAAGCUAGAGUAGAGUGGCCCUCGAUGUUGUAAAUAGGUCUUUUAACUAUAUUAAAUUUGAUCAUUCAUCUUCUAAUUGAACACCCUUAAACCUUAAUGAAAUACUUAUGAGAAAGCACUAGGGGUGCUACCUAUAUAUUAAUUAAUUAAUGUAUUGCUCAAAUAUCAGAAAAAUCAGGGAGGAAAAAUUGGAAUUGCUAUGAAUGCUAUAUGGUAUGAACCAUUUAGCAACUCUACGGAAGACAAGUUAGCUGCUGAGAGA
Molecule: long non-coding RNA, 344 nt
Filed under: Medicago truncatula (barrel medic)
Lineage: Eukaryota; Viridiplantae; Streptophyta; Magnoliopsida; Fabales; Fabaceae
Description: long non-coding RNA (MTRU_LNC008101)
Source: RNAcentral